AGCUUUGCGCAGUGGCAGUAUCGUAGCCAAUGAGGUUUAUCCGAGGCGCGAUUAUUGCUAAUCUGAUUCUCCUGCUCUACUCAUAAAGACCCUUCUGAUUACAUUGGGCCCACCUGGAUAAUCCCCAUCUUGGGAUCUUUCAUCGAAUUUCAUCUGCAAAGUCCCUUUU
RNAcentral lists this small nuclear RNA (169 nucleotides) under Zalophus californianus (California sea lion). RNAcentral's name for it is "U4 spliceosomal RNA (ENSZCAG00015016570.1)". The stretch from base 1 to 63 matches the Rfam family "U4 spliceosomal RNA". Lineage: Eukaryota; Metazoa; Chordata; Mammalia; Carnivora; Otariidae. The record is from RNAcentral.